CCUACGGGUGGCAGCAGUGGGGAAUAUUGCUCAAUGGGGGAGACCCUGAUGCAGCGACGUCGCGUGAGUGAAGAAGUAUCUCUGUACGGAAAACUCCAUCAGCAGGGAAGUAAAUGACGGUACCUGACUCAGAAGCCCCGUCUAACUAGGUGCCAGCAGCCGCGGUAAUACGUAGGGGGCGAGCGUUAUCCGGAUUUACCGGGUGUAAAGGGAGCGUAGACGGGAGCACAAGUCUGGAGUGAAAUCCCGGGGCUCAACCGUGGAACUGCCUUUGAAACUGGCCGGCUUGAGUGCAGGAGGGGUAGGCGGAAUUCGUAGUGUAGCGGUGAAAUGCGUAGAUAUCACGAAGAACACCGGUGGCGAAGGCAGCUUACUGGACUGUAACUGACGUUGAGGCUCGAAAGUGUGGGUAUCAAACAGGAUUAGAUACCCUUGUAGUC
This 440-nucleotide ribosomal RNA is filed under the name uncultured bacterium. RNAcentral describes it as "partial 16S ribosomal RNA". It matches the Rfam family "Bacterial small subunit ribosomal RNA", at positions 338 to 795 of the family's 1533-position model. The record is from RNAcentral.